CGGAUGCUGCAGGUGCCAAAACAGACGUGGUGUGGUACCUGCAAUUACCAGCUACCUGGUGCUCCAGCUCCUGCAACGUUCUGGCAACAGACACUAUGUCCAGUUCCACUUCAAAGCUGCCUCUGUGCUUUCAGAAUCACAGGAUCCUUCUAUGCAAAGCCUGGAGACCACAAGGAUAGUACUGCUGUUGGUAAAGGAUUUCCCCAGUAGAUCAGCUCACCUGCCUGAGCUCCUGCCUCUCAACAGGCUCACAAAAUGCAUCACAAAAUGCAUCACAAAAUGCACUUGUCCAUAUCCAGUGUUGCUGUCAGAAGAGGCAGAGUUUCACAUAAUUCUGCUCAGACUCAGACAUCCAACUUCACAGCUUGUCCUGAUAGCAUCUCCCAGGAGGAAAGUCCACUAAUUCACCUUGCUCUGUUAAAAGUCAAAUUUACCUUUUAGAAUGAGCUUUAUCUUUGUAUGAUCUCUUACCAGACAAGCAUGGUUAUGAACCUUUUCUGGCCCUGAAACCAGUUUACUCAGGUAGUUUCACCGAGCAAUUAGGUUUUGAAACACAGAAACAAACUUCACAGUCUACAUACAGCAGUAAUUAGGAGCAUCUCACAGGCUGAGCCAAUGUUUUUUUGAUCAAGAAUUCUAUAGAGCUGGGCAAACAUAUCUCCUCAAAACCAUCUUGCUUUAAAAUCUCUAAGUUUUGACAGGGAAAUGCAGGUUUGUGCCUAGCUCAGAAUACACUGGAUUAUGUUUUCUGCCAUCAGCAGCCUCAUUGCAAACUGUUGUCUGGAAGGAAAGACAGCUCUGGCUCUUACCUCCAGCUCAAUGCAGGACACAAAACAUUUGUUGUUCACUCUCCAGAGAUGCAGCUCAGUGCACAUCAGGCUGUAGCUCUGCUCCUGCUAUAGUUUCUCCAAAAAGGUAAAUGACUUAGGGGUGCUUGCCAAGGCAUUCUCUCCUCCCAGGAUUCCCAUUCCCUUUUCUCUGUCUGUGACUUCAAAAGGAAAGUUUGCUCUUACUGACACAGUAUUACAAUUAGCUAAGUCAUCUGCAAUGCACUGAACUGGGAACUGCUUCUCAUCACACAAAUCUAAAAUUAGCCAAGGUUCACUCCCCUGUGUCCAUAAGUGGCCAUCCUAUGGUCAGAGAAGGUGACCCCCAACUUUUUUCUCGUUUCCUCGAUAAUAUGAAAACAGCUUUUGAUUUCUUUUCCCUCUACAUUUCACUAUAUUCAGAUUUCUUAGAUAAAUUCUUUACAUAAACAUAUUUCAGCCAGCAGGUUGCAUUCAAACUUUUCACAUUGAUUAUUGACCAAAGCACCAGGUGUGAUCCAUGACAGAUCUGCUCACCUGAGACAGGCAGGGCUGCUCCUGAUCCUGGCUUACAAGAGCUGUGGCUACACUUGGAAGGAGAGUUUCAAUAGUGCACAGGGAACUACUGACUAGAGCAAAUUAAUUUAUCUUCUUUUCCACAAACUUCCAUGAAAAGAAAACUAAUGCUGAUGUGAAUAAAAUAGAAAAGGGAUGUGACUACA
Molecule: long non-coding RNA, 1528 nt
Filed under: Cyanistes caeruleus (blue tit)
Lineage: Eukaryota; Metazoa; Chordata; Aves; Passeriformes; Paridae
Description: lncRNA (ENSCCEG00000006032.1)
Source: RNAcentral